RNAcentral lists this unclassified non-coding RNA (204 nucleotides) under Glomeraceae sp. RNAcentral's name for it is "partial contains 5.8S ribosomal RNA and internal transcribed spacer 2". The stretch from base 1 to 71 matches the Rfam family "5.8S ribosomal RNA", at positions 84 to 154 of the family's 154-position model. The record is from RNAcentral. Lineage: Eukaryota; Fungi; Glomeromycota; Glomeromycetes; Glomerales; Glomeraceae.
GUGAAUCAUCGAAUCUUUGAACGCAAAUUGCACUCUCUGGUAUUCCGGCGAGUAUGCCUGUUUGAGGGUCAGUUUAAAUCAAAAUCGGUGUGGUUGCUGCCUUUCGUGGUGAAGCACCGGAUUUGAAUCGUCUUGCCUUCGGCUACGAGCCCUCAAAUCUUACAUGAUUUUUUUCGAACGACUGUAAAUGGUUUUACGCACGUU